RNAcentral lists this transfer RNA (92 nucleotides) under Colletotrichum trifolii. It matches the Rfam family "tRNA". From Rfam's summary of the family: Transfer RNA (tRNA) molecules are approximately 80 nucleotides in length. Their secondary structure includes four short double-helical elements and three loops (D, anti-codon, and T loops). Lineage: Eukaryota; Fungi; Ascomycota; Sordariomycetes; Glomerellales; Glomerellaceae. RNAcentral also lists the same sequence under 1 other name. The record is from Rfam by way of RNAcentral.
GCGGACAUAGCUCAGUUGGGAGAGCGUCAGACUGAAGUCAACUUCACUCAUAUAAAAUCUGAAGGUCGUGUGUUCAAUCCACACUGGCCGCA